RNAcentral lists this ribosomal RNA (253 nucleotides) under uncultured bacterium. RNAcentral describes it as "partial 16S ribosomal RNA". It matches the Rfam family "Bacterial small subunit ribosomal RNA", at positions 524 to 776 of the family's 1533-position model. The record is from RNAcentral.
GACAGAGGGUGCAACCGUUGUUCGAAAUUACUGGGCGUAAAGCGCGUGUAGGCUGCUUCGCAAGUCGGGUGUGAAAGCCCUGGGCUCAACCUAGGAAGUGCACUCGAAACUGCGAAGCUUGAGUCCUGGAGAGGAAGGCGGAAUUCUCGGUGUAGAGGUGAAAUUCGUAGAUAUCGAGAGGAACACCGGUGGCGAAGGCGGCCUUCUGGACAGUGACUGAUGCUGAGACGCGAAAGCGUGGGGAGCAAACAGG